This 442-nucleotide ribosomal RNA is filed under the name uncultured bacterium. RNAcentral describes it as "partial 16S ribosomal RNA". It matches the Rfam family "Bacterial small subunit ribosomal RNA", at positions 338 to 795 of the family's 1533-position model. The record is from RNAcentral.
CCUACGGGUGGCAGCAGUGGGGAAUAUUGGGCAAUGGGCGCAAGCCUGACCCAGCAACGCCGCGUGAAGGAAGACGGCUUUCGGGUUGUAAACUUCUUUUUAGCGGGAAGAGCAGAAGACGGUACCUCUUGAAUAAGCCACGGCUAACUACGUGCCCGGAGCCGCGGUACAACGUAGGUGGCAAGCGUUGUCCGGAAUUACUGGGUGUAAAGGGCGUGCAGCCGGGAAGACAAGUCAGAUGUGAAAUCCCGCGGCUCAACCGCGGAACUGCAUUUGAAACUGUUUUUCUUGAGUACCGGAGAGGUCAUCGGAAUGCCUGGUGUAGCGGUGAAAUGCGUAGAUAUAAGGAAGAACACCAGUGGCGAAGGCGGAUGACUGGACGGCAACUGACGGUGAGGCGCGAAAGCGUGGGUAUCAAACAGGAUUAGAUACCCCGGUAGUC